UACCAUGUGGGGGCGUAAAAGGCAAGCGACGCCUGUUAAAUAUAAAUUCAUUAAUUCACUGACACGACCAGGGUGUCAACAUGCGAAUGUAACAGAAAAACAAGUUAAGAUAUCGAAUCAUUCAUUCGCUGACUCGACCAGGGUGUCAAAAUGAGAAUGUAAUAGAAAAGCAGCUUUUAAAAGACUGAUGACGGUGAUGACAGACCCGCUGUCACAGCCCUAUGAUGAACUGAACCGAUUGAUAAUAAAGCAGACGGACAGUGAUUAUUUUAGUCACUUGGUGCACGAAUCUCUGCAGCCUGCACAGCCACUGAAGAAGAUGGACACUGAGGAGAAGAGAAAGAGGAGAAGAAAGUCACAGAGCUUUAAACUCGUCAAAGGUGAAGAGUUUGGCCCCUCACAUGUGACUCAUUCCAGUUGUAAAGACACCUAUGGAGAGCAGGAUGCUGCUGUGCCAGAUGUUUGGCCGGGUGAUGACAGCAUGGAGAUCAAGAAGCAAAUCACUGGUAUGAUGAGGCUUCUAGGCGACAAGACCAGCAGAGUGUAUCAGCGCGUGGAAAAAGAACAAGACAGAGUAUCAAAAACAUCCCCGGAUGUGACCGACGUAGAGCCUGCAGCUUCUUCUGCUCAAUCAAAGAACCGGCGGAUGAACAGCUGCGACUCCACUGGGAAUGUAACGCCUUCUGCUUUGUCCAGAGCCACUCCAAUUCUUCACGGUCCCACCUGCAGCUACUCCAGCAAGGAUAUGAUGAUUAAAGUGGAUGAUGCUCAUGAUGUAGUUCCAGUACUUGUUGCAUCAGGAGCCCCUUGCUGUGUGUGCAAUUGCAAAGGCACAUUGCAGGCCAUUCUGCAGGAGCUGCGUACCAUGAGGAGGCUAAUGCAGGCCCAGAGAGUAUCAUCUGACCAGCCAUGUCAACCUCGCCUUGGUCCUGGUUCUUCUCCUUACCACAGGCCCAGGAAGUGGAGGCCAAUCUUUAAAGUGGCAAAGAGGGUUGUUGCUUCCCCUUUGGAGGUAUCACCGCUGACUGCUGCACCCACAGAAGCCGUAAAGAAAGAAGAAUGUGGGGAAAUUUCACUCUCAUCUAUUGGUUCCACUGAGAUCUGUGUGCAGCCACAGCAUAGUAACCUAGCAAGUAUCAACAAACACACAAAAGUGAAGGCACCUCAGGCCACUGAAGUACAGUCGGAGGUGCGCCUUGCUGAGGAUUAUGACGUUUUUAUCUCCAAGGCUCAACUAGACUCCAUAUUAGUCAACUACACACGCUCUGGAAGCCUCCUGUUCAGGAAACUGGUGUGUGCCUUCUUUGAUGAUGCAACCCUAGCUAUCUCCUUGCCCAAUGGGAAAAGGAAGAGGGGGCUUAAUGAUAACAGGAAAGGCCUGGACCAGAAUAUUGUUGGCGCCAUUAAAGCGUUUACAGAGAAAUACUGCAACGAGCACAGAAUAGAGAAGCUCCCCGGGCCACGGGAUUGGGUUCAGAUCCUUCAAGAUCAAAUCAAACUUGCCAGGAGGAGACUGAAAAGAGAUGCUGCAGAAGACGUCUUAAAUGGACCCUCAUCAUCUUGUGAUAAGAGCAUACCUCCAAGUGUGGGAGGGACACCACUGAUGGACCUGACUGGCUGAUUGGAGGGCAACCCCCAUGACCUGCGAUUGUUUGCAUUCCUUUACUACAUGCGUUGUCAUUCACCGCCAACAACUGCUUUGUACUUCAUUAUCAUUUCAUCCAAAACACCAUGAAUACAAAACAAAGGCAAGAUCUACAAAUGUCAUAGUGUUUGUUUCUGUUGCACAAAUUAUACUUUAAGUCAGGGUUAUUCAAUAAUUGUUCUGGGGGGCACAUUUUCAGAAUGCUCUGGACUUUUUUUAAAUAAAUAUACUUUGGCCACACAUCGGGAAGACCUGGGUUCCCAGUUGCUUGGACAUCUCUAUGUGGAGUUUGCAUGUUCUCCCUGUGCGUGGAGUUUCCUCCCACAUUCCAAAAACAUGUUAAUUUGUUAAUUGGCGAGUCCAAAUUGUCUAUAGGUAUGAAUGUGAGUGUGAAUGGUUGUUUGUCUAUAUGUGCCCUGUGACUGGCUGGCAACCAGUCCAGGGUGUACCCCGCCUCCCACUCAAAAACAGCUGGGAUAGGCUCCAGCAUACCCAGCUAAUGAGGAUAAGCGGCAAAGAAAAUGUAUGCAUGGACCACCUGCAAAAAAACAAAAACAUUUGUCAUAGAUCAUUAAGACAAGAAUACUCUGAUCUUUUAAGUACCUUCCUCUAUACAACACAAACUCCUGUUUUUAAGUACCUACAGCAAAAUGUGAGACAAAGAUCCUUUAUUUGACAGGAGCGCUCUGCUGUUUUUAAGUACCGUCCUCGAUACAACACAAGCCCUCUCCUGUUUUUCAGUACCUGCUGCAAAAACGUUAACUAACCACAAGACAAACUAAUGUACUGCAAAAAUUCCAGUCCUCUAUAUGACGGAAUGCACAACUAUGUGUAAAGAAACAGAAAACAAAUUGUAGAUCUACUGGAAAAAAUAAAAACGCUAGUCAAAGAUCUAUGUGCAAGGAGUGCUGUGCUGUUUAUAAUACUUUACAUACUGCAAAUGUGCUAGACAAAGAUCCUCUAAAUGACAGGAGUGCGCUGCUGUCUUUGAAGGCCUAUUACAAAAAAGCCAGUCUAUAUAGUAAUGCCCUGGUGUUUUUAGGUACUGUAUGUGCUGCAAAAAUAUUGGUUACUGUCAAGUUUUGAACUGAACUUGUGAGCCAGUCAGGAGUCAUUCCUGGACAGGGGUUUGGCCCUUGGGGCUGUGGAACCGCCCUGCUGUUCAACGCAAGAUAGGCAUCAGCCAAGGACACCUAAUUGAAGGACCGACGCAAGCCGCCGCUGUCCCCGCUCUUGUGUCGGGAUCUGGCGCUGACUUGAAGCUGG
Non-coding RNA from Doryrhamphus excisus (bluestripe pipefish), 2911 nucleotides. NCBI's taxonomy places the organism in Eukaryota, Metazoa, Chordata, Actinopteri, Syngnathiformes, Syngnathidae. The record is from RefSeq and is a predicted model, not a curated record.